This 1032-nucleotide long non-coding RNA is filed under the name Nicotiana benthamiana. RNAcentral describes it as "long non-coding RNA (NBEN_LNC036009)". The record is from RNAcentral. Lineage: Eukaryota; Viridiplantae; Streptophyta; Magnoliopsida; Solanales; Solanaceae.
CAUGUACUUGAAAUAAAUUUCAACAAAAGAAACACAUUGUGUACUAUCUAUAGUAUUACAGCAGUGUUAGUUCAAGAAGUUCACUAGCAAAGACCUCUACAAAACCAAAUGUACUCAUAUUCAGUGUCAACAAAAAUAAACAUCUUGCUCCAAAGGUCUUCACCACUAACUUCUAAUGAUUCAAAUUGAUUUGUGGCCACCAUUUUCAAUUGCAUCAGCUGUAUUUUCAUACACAUUCAAAUAAAAAAAAAUUGGGAAGAAAUGCUUGUAACGAGAACAAGGAUCAAAAGAAAGCCUGAAAAUACUUUCGCUGAAAGGCUUAUGUAUUGUACCAAAAUAUGUAUUAUGAAAAGACUCAUUUCAGAAGCAUAUUAAUAAUAACAAAUUAUAUAAAAAACUUCCUAAACGUUGAUCAAUUUUCAACUUGCAGAAUUAAACUCAACAGUGCAAAAUAAAACUCAACUAUACUGCACCAAAAUAUGUAUUAAGCCUAUUUUGUGCAACGAACAACACUCAAUAACCCUAUUUAGCAUUAGAUGGAUUCUUCAUCAAUUACUUACUAAACCAUGCGUAUAUAAGUUUUUGGCAAAAUUCAUCUUGGCAGUAGGGUACUCAUACACUUGAAAGAAUCUUAACUGCAGAGAGAAAUGUAAAUAUAAUAAAUUUAAGGUACAGUGAGCCUCUAGCAUACAAGGUUACAGAGCUUUGUAAACUAGAUUGGACAAGUUUCACCAUGUGAGCCUCUAGCAGAUAAGCUUACAGAGUUUUGUAAAUUAGAUUGGACAAGUUUCACCACAGUAAUAUCAACAAAAUCACACUCCCCCUCUUACCUACAUACUGGUAAAUCCAAGGGGAUUUUAGAAACAUAACUAGGUAAAUGGCAUGUAGUUAUAAUCAGGUAUGAAAUAGCUUAAAUCUGUCAUACAAAAUGAGGGCGUAACGGGAGGUAAAGAAAAUCAUAUCUUAGUUUUAAAUUAGAUGAAGCUCCUAAGAAACUUGUUACUGGGAACAUUCUGCAGUAAUAUGUCCGAU